Small nuclear RNA from Heterocephalus glaber (naked mole-rat), 104 nucleotides. The record is from Ensembl. NCBI's taxonomy places the organism in Eukaryota, Metazoa, Chordata, Mammalia, Rodentia, Bathyergidae.
GCUCUCUUUGGUUGACCUACCCUAAAACUGGAAUAAUACAGAGAAGAUUGGCACUGCCCCUGUACAAGACUUACAUGAAGAUUCAUGAAGUGUUCUGUAUUUCU